This 1041-nucleotide long non-coding RNA is filed under the name Olea europaea subsp. europaea. Lineage: Eukaryota; Viridiplantae; Streptophyta; Magnoliopsida; Lamiales; Oleaceae. The record is from RNAcentral.
AAACAUUUAUAUUUUUCAAUACUAAUAUUAAUAUUUCUUGGUGUCCCAAUGUGAGAAAAAAAACUUACACAUAAUAAAAUGGGAACAUAUCAUCCCAUCUUGAUUCUUGAAAGAAAGAAAGAAAAGAAUUAUUAUUUUGAAGAUUCCCGUAUUACUUGCAUUUUAUUUUCCCUUAACCAACACUUGUAUUAAUCUCCUCAUUCUUGUUUUUUGGGCAGUUCUUCAAAAUCCCACAUACAAAUUUCGAGUAAUGACAAAAUGUAAAAUCGAGAUAUUUGCAUAUAUACUUACUAUACCACUCUAAUUCAAAGUAGAUAUUUUAUUUACUUAUAUUUUCAAUACUACAUUAUCGUUUCAAUGGAUAAAUAAGAAUUACACAUGACAAACUACUAACGGUGAAAUUCGAAAUUUGAAGAAUGAUUGAACAAUACAAUAUAAUACUUGGAUAUUCUCAUAGUUAAGUCGAAAAUGGAGAAUUUUUUUCACUAAACAUUUAUAUUUUUCAAUACUAAUAUUAAUAUUUCUUGGUGUCCCAAUGUGAGAAAAAAAACUUACACAUAAUAAAAUGGGAACAUAUCAUCCCAUCUUGAUUCUUGAAAGAAAGAAAGAAAAGAAAAAUACAAGGCAGAGUAUACAAUGUGCUUUCUUACAUACAUAGAGAUAAAAGAGGCUCGUGAAAUUAACAUGACGGAUCGAAAUUAAGGUACAAGACCAGCGUACGGAACAGGUACUAUGUACCUAGGAUUCAACGGGAUCUCCAUUGUGUUCUGUCUGAAAACUGUUCCAACAGCCUCGACGACGAAGGCUACGAACUCUAAGGCAAGCUUAAAUAGUUCUAUGCACAUUUCAAUCCUCGAAAUCACCAUUUCUCCUUUCUUCUUCUUGUUUCCUCUCUCUCUCUCUCUAAACUGAGUUACUUAUAGUGUCUCUCUCUCUAUGUAUAUGUGAGUAUAUAUAUGGUUCAGACAUGAAUUUGUGAAAACGUUGGUAAAGGCUAACACCGCCUUUGGGACUCUCAAUGGACCAGAAAGGCCAGCAUCG